Molecule: ribosomal RNA, 388 nt
Filed under: uncultured bacterium
Lineage: Bacteria
Description: partial 16S ribosomal RNA
Rfam family: Bacterial small subunit ribosomal RNA
Source: RNAcentral
CCUACGGGUGGCAGCAGUAGGGAAUCUUCCACAAUGGGCGAAAGCCUGAUGGAGCAACGCCGCGUGGGUGAAGAAGGUCUUCGGAUCGUAAAACCCUGUUGUUAGAGAAGAAAGUGCGUGAGAGUAACUGUUCACGUUUCGACGGUAUCUAACCAGAAAGCCACAGCUAACUACUUGCCAGCAGCAGCGGUAAUACGUAGGUGGCAAGCGUUAUCCGGAUUUGUUGGGUGUAAAGGGAACGCAGGCGGUCUUUUAAGUCUGAUGUGAAAGCCUUCGUCUUAACCGGAGUAGUGCAUUGGAAACUGGGAGACUUGAGUGCAGAAGAGGAGAGUUGAACUCGAGGUGUAGCGGUGAAAUGCGUAGAUAUAUGGAAGAACACCAGUGGCGA